Molecule: ribosomal RNA, 253 nt
Filed under: uncultured bacterium
Lineage: Bacteria
Description: partial 16S ribosomal RNA
Rfam family: Bacterial small subunit ribosomal RNA
Source: RNAcentral
UACAGGGGGGGCAAGCGUUGUUCGGAAUUACUGGGCGUAAAGGGCUCGUAGGCGGCCAACUAAGUCACACGUGAAAUCCCCAGGCUUAACCUGGGAACUGCGUGUGAUACUGGAUGGCUUGAAUCCGGGAGAGGGAUGCAGAAUUCCAGGUGUAGCGGUGAAAUGCGUAGAUAUCUGGAGGAAUACCGGUGGCGAAGGCGGCAUCCUGGACCGGCAUUGACGCUGAUGAGCGAAAGCUAGGGGAGCAAACAGG